ACCGUACCCCAAACCGACACAGGUGGUCGGGUAGAGAAUACCAAGGCGCUUGAGAGAACUCGGGUGAAGGAACUAGGCAAAAUGGCACCGUAACUUCGGGAGAAGGUGCGCCGGCUAGGGUGAAGGAUUUACUCCGUAAGCUCUGGCUGGUCGAAGAUACCAGGCCGCUGCGACUGUUUAUUAAAAACACAGCACUCUGCAAACACGAAAGUGGACGUAUAGGGUGUGACGCCUGCCCGGUGCCGGAAGGUUAAUUGAUGGGGUUAGCGCAAGCGAAGCUCUUGAUCGAAGCCCCGGUAAACGGCGGCCGUAACUAUAACGGUCCUAAGGUAGCGAAAUUCCUUGUCGGGUAAGUUCCGACCUGCACGAAUGGCGUAACGAUGGCGGCGCUGUCUCCACCCGAGACUCAGUGAAAUUGAAAUCGCUGUGAAGAUGCAGUGUAUCCGCGGCUAGACGGAAAGACCCCGUGAACCUUUACUGUAGCUUUGCACUGGACUUUGAGCCUGCUUGUGUAGGAUAGGUGGGAGGCUUUGAAGCGUGGACGCCAGUUCGCGUGGAGCCAUCCUUGAAAUACCACCCUGGCAUGCUUGAGGUUCUAACUCUGGUCCGUAAUCCGGAUCGAGGACAGUGUAUGGUGGGCAGUUUGACUGGGGCGGUCUCCUCCUAAAGAGUAACGGAGGAGUACGAAGGUGCGCUCAGACCGGUCGGAAAUCGGUCGCAGAGUAUAAAGGCAAAAGCGCGCUUGACUGCGAGACAGACACGUCGAGCAGGUACGAAAGUAGGUCUUAGUGAUCCGGUGGUUCUGUAUGGAAGGGCCAUCGCUCAACGGAUAAAAGGUACUCCGGGGAUAACAGGCUGAUACCGCCCAAGAGUUCAUAUCGACGGCGGUGUUUGGCACCUCGAUGUCGGCUCAUCACAUCCUGGGGCUGAAGCCGGUCCCAAGGGUAUGGCUGUUCGCCAUUUAAAGUGGUACGCGAGCUGGGUUUAGAACGUCGUGAGACAGUUCGGUCCCUAUCUGCCGUGGACGUUUGAGAUUUGAGAGGGGCUGCUCCUAGUACGAGAGGACCGGAGUGGACGAACCUCUGGUGUUCCGGUUGUCACGCCAGUGGCAUUGCCGGGUAGCUAUGUUCGGAAAAGAUAACCGCUGAAAGCAUCUAAGCGGGAAACUUGCCUCAAGAUGAGAUCUCACUGGGAACUUGAUUCCCCUGAAGGGCCGUCGAAGACUACGACGUUGAUAGGCUGGGUGUGUAAGCGUUGUGAGGCGUUGAGCUAACCAGUACUAAUUGCCCGUGAGGCUUGACCA
RNAcentral lists this ribosomal RNA (1303 nucleotides) under Pseudomonas aeruginosa. RNAcentral's name for it is "partial 23S ribosomal RNA". It matches the Rfam family "Bacterial large subunit ribosomal RNA", at positions 1641 to 2925 of the family's 2925-position model. The record is from RNAcentral. Lineage: Bacteria; Pseudomonadati; Pseudomonadota; Gammaproteobacteria; Pseudomonadales; Pseudomonadaceae.